GCAUUCUGUAAAGAACUGAUCCAAGGACGUAUGCUUCUUCAUUCGUCAAAUGGAUCUCUUGGUGGGAGGCGCUGACAUGGACGAGAGGUACUGUGAGAGUUGAGAUGGAGUUGUUGGUGAUGCUUCCAGGCUUGACGCCAAAACAGACAGAGAGCCAGUGAGGAAGGAUACAGAGUACAAAAACAUCAUCGCUCUUAUCCAGCCCGGCUCUGACUCCCAUUUAAUCUCAAUGGACCGAAGACGAACAUUGGUCCGUCUGAACAAGUUGAACGAGCCAAAGACAUCUGUAGCAAUCCACGCACAUAACUACCUUUAAUAAUCACCAUCCCUAAAAGUACAAAGUCACCACUGUCUCGGAUUGCUUGCUGUGAUGGGGGAGAUGAGCUGCUUUACAGAUCUCCAACCUUAUGAAGGUCAUAUUAAGGUCAAUUUCAACACUGCCUGAGUUUUGUGGCACGAGCUGACUUGUAAGUAGAUUUGAAAUACCAAAAUUGCACAAGCGUGACAAGGCAGAUGGGUUUUUUGUUGUUGUUUUUAUCUGACAUAUUCAUCAAACUCUUAAUUAAUCAUUGCCUUUUUUGAAGCUACUUUUAGCCAUCACUGUGUGCUGCAUCAUUGUAAGUUUUGAACAUAACCAGCAAAAAAAUAACAAAAGAUAAACAGACAUGCUAACGUUAGCUAACACUGGACACUGAAAUCUAAUUCCGCAGUCUGCCGCAACGGUCGGUUUUCUUGAUCCCUUUUGUCUCCUCUCAAAUCAGAUGGCUAACAGUGUCGGUCACAUGCCAAGCAGUAAACACAAGAGACUUUCGCAAAGCAUUGUUGUUGUCGUCGUUUCUUUAGCAUGUCUCAUAUCGACUGAUACCUUCAAUGUAACGCAGUUUUGACACUUUGCUGCUGUGUCACUUGACAGGGAAUCAGGAGGUGUUUUUUUUUUUUUUUAACCCUUUGAAACGGAGAGCCGGUCAGGGGUUAUUUUAGUCUUGGGGCUAAACAAGAUUUGACACACAACAAACCAAGCCUUGUUCUUCACUGUGGCAAAAUGUCCGAACAUUUCCAAGUCAGUUCAGUUGCACAUCAACAGUCACACAUUUUUUUGUAAAUCCCAGGCAAGGGUUGACUUACAACUAGAGAAUUUUGAGAGUUUCAAGAAUUUUAGGCGUUUCCUGGUGUUCACAGCCUCUCUGACACGAAAGACUCAAACACAUGCAAAAGAUGACACACGCCACACUACAUGACACACAGUACUUAAAAAGUUCUCUAUAUAUAUUUUUUUUUAACAACAGAGAGGACCGAAUGUGACAUCCGCUUUAGUGAGCCUAGCUUGAUUUAGCGCACUUAUUCUUUACAGUCAGUAGCUUCUGCAAAUGUUUUUGUUGUGAACAUUAUUCGCGUUACAUUGAAUUACGAAUGUCGUAAUUUGAUGAAAUAGGAGAUCAGUCGAGGCAACAUGUGGGCGCCUUGUUAAUUUUGGAGGGCAACCUAGCUGAGUUCAACUGUGAGGUUAAACUGUGAAUGAAUCACCGGACUCGUUAGCAGCGACAUGGCGUUCAGCUGUGAAUGUGUCACAUCUAUUGUUUGCGGAACGAUCCCGCUCCCGCUGAAGUCAGCAGAUCGGCAGCGAUGCGCACUGAUGCGGCAUCUCAUUGGACAUUUCCAUGAACCCAUUCACCGUCACACCAAGGAGCUACAAAGCAGCUCAUUGAGAUCGUGACUGCGGUGAGCCGACCGUUCAUUUCAGCGAACGCACAUCUGCUGCUGAUCACGCAGGCAGACAACACACAGACGGACACCGCAUCGGUUAUGUCAUGUCUUCACAUGUUUUAAAUGAGUUUGAUCUUUACAAAGGAUAAAUCGGCUCAGG
Hippocampus comes (tiger tail seahorse) is the source of this 1864-nucleotide long non-coding RNA. RefSeq lists it as uncharacterized. The transcript has 4 exons. NCBI's taxonomy places the organism in Eukaryota, Metazoa, Chordata, Actinopteri, Syngnathiformes, Syngnathidae. The record is from RefSeq and is a predicted model, not a curated record.